This 496-nucleotide ribosomal RNA is filed under the name uncultured bacterium. Its description in RNAcentral is "bacterial SSU rRNA". It matches the Rfam family "Bacterial small subunit ribosomal RNA", at positions 24 to 518 of the family's 1533-position model. The record is from RNAcentral.
UCAGGGUGAACGCUAGCGGCAGGCUAACACAUGCAAGUCGAGGGCAUCGGGAGUAGCAAUACUGCCGGCGACCGGCGCAAGGUGCGUAACGCGUGAGCAACAUGCCCGUAUCAGGGGGAUAAUCCAUGGAAACGUGGUCUAAUACCCCAUAGUAAUUAUGUAAGGCAUCUUAUAUAAUUUAAAGCUUUGGUGGAUACGGAUUGGCUCGCGUGACAUUAGCUAGAUGGUAAGGUAACGGCUUACCAUGGCUACGAUGUCUAGGGGUUCUGAGAGGAAGGUCCCCCACACUGGAACUGAGACACGGUCCAGACUCCUACGGGAGGCAGCAGUGAGGAAUAUUGGACAAUGGAUGGAAAUCUGAUCCAGCCAUGCCGCGUGCCAGGAAGACGGCCCUAUGGGUUGUAAACUGCUUUUGUAUGGGAGCAAUAAGGGCUACGUGUAGUCCGAUGAGAGUACCAUACGAAUAAGCACCGGCUAACUCCGUGCCAGCCGCUGC